This is a long non-coding RNA of Gadus morhua (Atlantic cod), 319 nucleotides long. NCBI's taxonomy places the organism in Eukaryota, Metazoa, Chordata, Actinopteri, Gadiformes, Gadidae. The record is from Ensembl.
GCCAUAUUCUCGCUUCCUUCUGGAAGGACACUUCGGCGUUACGUUAGCGCACGUGUGGGAUAUUUCUCUCCUGGCUUCCUACAGGGAAUCAUCUCCCAAAUGGGAGUCAUCGCCGCCACCAUGACCCCUGUGGAGAGGAUGUGUAUGCUCGUCCUGGACGAGAUGUCAAUCAAAAAACAAUUUGAUUAUGAUCGCAAGAACGAUGCCAUUUAUGGUGUAUCUGCAUCUGGGGCUGCAGCAAAACAAGCGAUGGUCGUCAUGGCUAGGGGCAUUAUGGGGAAAUGGAAGCAGACGGUGGGUUACUUAUUUUCCUCAUCUU